UUUUUUUUUUCCAUUCUCAAAAUGACAUAAACCUGAAUAAAUUAUUAUGAAUUGUGUACUUUCUAACGAUAGCUUUUUGCAGUUAAAUUGAUUAAUUGUUACUAUCCAAUGCCAAAAUUAUUUUCUUGUGAUGACUGGGCAAUUGAGUUAAAAUUUUCUAAGAAGACCAAAGGCAAUCCACUCUGACACAAGGUGAAUAGUUUUAAGUUAAAGGUGACUUCCUUGCAGUAUCCAUGGCUGUCAUGAAAGUAGAUGUUAAAAUAUUAGAUCUAUGUACCCUCCUCUUACUUCAUAAAACAGAAUGAGUUACAUAGUUACAAUUUACAUGCCUCUUUAAGGGCAAGUACAAUGCCAGUGCUCAUCUGUACUGGGAUAGAGAUAACACUGGUAAACAAUGGAAUGAUAUUAUAAAAAGAAAAACAGAAAAACUGAGUUAGUAUUAGAGUUUAUAGAACUCAGAGAACGAGGCCAAUUCAUGCUACUCUGGAGAAUUCCAACCAGGUACAAACACACUCUUCUUAAGGAAAAAAAAAAAAAAAAACUGGGUUAUAAUUUAGUAAACUUGGCUUCUUGAGGUCUGAUGAGAUGAGCACAGGGAACCUGCUCUCUUAGCACAAUCACUAUUAACUGACAAAGUAGUAGAGAACAGGGUCUGUUUCCAUAAUACUCUCUUAAGCUAUUUGCUCCCAAUACCCUUUUAAGAAUAACUGAAAUAAACUACCUUCUCAAUUUUUCAUUUCAGUGCUAAAAUUUACUUUUAUAGUUUUCUAAGGAAGUUCACCAUGAGCAUUGAGUUUCAGAGGCAUGUUUAACUUUCUUAGGACAUCUCAUGAGCCUUUUUCUUUUGUUUUUUCAUUGGAUGCAUAAAACCCCCAACAGAUACAGAAUAUACUCUUCUUUAAACACUUCUGUCUAAGGGACCUCUUCCCAUCUCCUAUGUAAUGACAGGGCAAAAAGACUGAGUCCUAGAUGCUCAUGGCCCCUGAUUAAGACCUGUGGUUGGGAGUUCAUGAGACUCUAUUUAAACCACCUGCUUAGAUGCCUCACUGAAAUCAGUGGGGGAUUUUUACUCUCUCAUGACACUGUAUAAAUGUUAGUUCACUAAAGGGAAAUGGUUGAGAGGGGACAGACGGAGAACUGUGAAGAAAUUAAAGGACCUUUAACGGAUUAAAAACAAAAAGCCAUUCUGCUCUCCAGGGUGCACAUUUAUUUAGCUAGAUUUGCUUAAAAGUAUUCUCAAGCCUCCAAGUUCAAUCGACCAGAAUGACUUUAAAACAUUUUUUUUCUGCUCCAUUGGAGAGAUAUGCCUUUACAUGAUUAUUUUAAUGACAAUUAUCUAUCAGGUAAUUGAAACGUAAAGCUCAUAUAUAAGUAUGGCAGAACCUGUGAAUUUUGUAAGUCAAAUGUCUCCAGGGUAUUUUAAAAAGCACUUUGGCUACAUUUUUAAAUCUAACCACUCCAACAGACAUGAGAGUUAUUACUCUUGGGCAAGAUUCAAAAGAAUUGGUAAAGUUAAAAAGAAUAAUUUUCUGAAGUAUUUUUGACAGCAAUUAAUUUCACAGGGGAUACAUGCAUUUCCUAAAUCUCCAGGAAAAUUUUUUCUUCACUGUAUAACAAGAUGCACUUUUUGAAGAGAUUCUUUCACUAGAAUGUAUAAUGAUCUGAACUGUAGAAGAAAUAUAAUUAAGUGGACUCAUUACUAUUUCUUUUAAUAAGGUAAUUUAAUUGCAUUUUCCCCAAAACACAGAAAAUGUACAGUUAUUGUUCAGGCCUAAAAGAAUUAAUCAACCUAAGUGUCCAUCACU
Long non-coding RNA from Macaca fascicularis (crab-eating macaque), 1805 nucleotides. NCBI's taxonomy places the organism in Eukaryota, Metazoa, Chordata, Mammalia, Primates, Cercopithecidae. The record is from Ensembl.